Molecule: transfer RNA, 73 nt
Filed under: Lachnospiraceae bacterium
Lineage: Bacteria; Bacillati; Bacillota; Clostridia; Lachnospirales; Lachnospiraceae
Also listed under: 1 other name
Description: tRNA-Gln
Rfam family: tRNA
About the family: Transfer RNA (tRNA) molecules are approximately 80 nucleotides in length. Their secondary structure includes four short double-helical elements and three loops (D, anti-codon, and T loops).
Source: RNAcentral
UGGGCUGUCGCCAAGCGGUAAGGCACAGGGUUUUGAUCCCUGCAUUCCGCCGGUUCGAAUCCGGCCGGCCCAG